GACGAACGCUGGCGGCGUGCUUAACACAUGCAAGUCGAACGGAAAGGCCCUGCUUUUGUGGGGUGCUCGAGUGGCGAACGGGUGAGUAACACGUGAGUAACCUGCCCUUGACUUUGGGAUAACUUCAGGAAACUGGGGCUAAUACCGGAUAGGAGCUCCUGCUGCAUGGUGGGGGUUGGAAAGUUUCGGCGGUUGGGGAUGGACUCGCGGCUUAUCAGCUUGUUGGUGGGGUAGUGGCUUACCAAGGCUUUGACGGGUAGCCGGCCUGAGAGGGUGACCGGCCACAUUGGGACUGAGAUACGGCCCAGACUCCUACGGGAGGCAGCAGGGGGGAAGAUUGAACAAUGGGCGGAAGCCUGAUGAAGCAACGCCGCGGGCGGGAUGACGGCCUUCGGGUUGUAAACCGCUUUCGCCUGUGACGAAGCGUGAGUGACGGUAAGGGGUAAAGAAGCACCGGCUAACUACGUGC
Molecule: ribosomal RNA, 469 nt
Filed under: uncultured bacterium
Lineage: Bacteria
Description: partial 16S ribosomal RNA
Rfam family: Bacterial small subunit ribosomal RNA
Source: RNAcentral